Molecule: ribosomal RNA, 253 nt
Filed under: uncultured bacterium
Lineage: Bacteria
Description: partial 16S ribosomal RNA
Rfam family: Bacterial small subunit ribosomal RNA
Source: RNAcentral
UACAGAGGUCCCGAGCGUUGUUCGGAUUUAUUGGGCGUAAAGGGUGCGUAGGUGGCAAAGUAAGUUGGAUGUGAAAUCCUGGGGCUCAACCUCAGAAUUGCAUUCAAUACUGCUUAGCUAGAGAGCUGUAGAGGAGACUGGAAUUUACGGUGUAGCAGUGAAAUGCGUAGAUAUCGUAAGGAACGCCAGUGGCGAAAGCGAGUCUCUGGGCAGCAUCUGACACUGAGGCACGAAGGCCAGGGGAGCAGACGGG